UGGGGAAUCUUGCGCAAUGGGGGCAACCCUGACGCAGCCAUGCCGCGUGAACGAUGAAGGCCUUAGGGUUGUAAAGUUCUUUUACCCGUGACGAUGAUGACGGUAACGGGAGAAUAAGCUCCGGCUAACUUCGUGCCAGCAGCCGCGGUAAUACGAAGGGGGCUAGCGUUGUUCGGAAUUACUGGGCGUAAAGCGCGCGCAGGCGGUUCGAUAAGUUAGGGGUGAAAUCCCCGGGCUCAACCCGGGAACUGCCUUGAAGACUGUCGAGCUAGAGGACGAGAGAGGUGAGUGGAAUUCCCAGUGUAGAGGUGAAAUUCGUAGAUAUUGGGAAGAACACCGGUGGCGAAGGCGGCUCACUGGCUCGUUUCUGACGCUGAGGCGCGAAAGCGUGGGGAGCAAACA
Molecule: ribosomal RNA, 402 nt
Filed under: uncultured prokaryote
Description: bacterial SSU rRNA
Rfam family: Bacterial small subunit ribosomal RNA
Source: RNAcentral